CCCUUAGAUGUUCUGGGCUGCACGCGCGCUACACUGAUGCGCUCAACGAGUUUACGACCUUGCCCGGAAGGGUUGGGUAAUCUUUUUAAAACGCAUCGUGAUGGGGAUAGAUUAUUGCAAUUAUUAAUCUUUAACGAGGAAUUCCUAGUAAGCGCGAGUCAUCAGCUCGUGCUGAUUACGUCCCUGCCCUUUGUACACACCGCCCGUCGCUCCUACCGACUGAGUGAUCCGGUGAAUAAUUCGGACUGCAGCAGUGUUCAGUUCCUGAACGUUGCAGCGGAAAGUUUAGUGAACCUUAUCACUUAGAGGAAGGAGAAGUCGUAACA
This 326-nucleotide ribosomal RNA is filed under the name uncultured eukaryote. RNAcentral's name for it is "partial 18S ribosomal RNA". It matches the Rfam family "Eukaryotic small subunit ribosomal RNA", at positions 1470 to 1796 of the family's 1831-position model. The record is from RNAcentral.